Molecule: long non-coding RNA, 324 nt
Filed under: Panax ginseng (ginseng)
Lineage: Eukaryota; Viridiplantae; Streptophyta; Magnoliopsida; Apiales; Araliaceae
Description: long non-coding RNA (PGIN_LNC016957)
Source: RNAcentral
UUUUUCGGUUUAAAGCCCAACAUUCUGCAUGUCUCUCUCACAAAAAUACUCAGAAAAGUAGAGGGCUUCGCCUUCGUAUAUCGUCGGAGAAGACGACAAAGAAAUUUACAGUAUUUUGAAUCGAACAGAGACGCCCAUUUGGGGGGAUUGGAAGGCAAGAUCUCAACAAGAAGUGAAUGGGUCAAAUGGGUAAGGAUUGAUUCAUGGGUUUGUUGGGUUUUAUCAACCAGAUUGGGGAGAGAACAAUUGAUGAUUGAUUUGGAGCUUGGUUGCUCUGUUUUAUAAUUGAUGUUGAGUAGUCCUCCUAUGGCCGUUUCUCUCUCC